This 506-nucleotide ribosomal RNA is filed under the name uncultured bacterium. RNAcentral describes it as "partial 16S ribosomal RNA". It matches the Rfam family "Bacterial small subunit ribosomal RNA", at positions 28 to 523 of the family's 1533-position model. The record is from RNAcentral.
GAUGAACGCUAGCUACAGGCUUAACACAUGCAAGCCGAGGGGUAACAAGAGAAAAGCUUGCUUUUCUUGUUGACGACCGGCGCACGGGUGAGUAACGCGUAUCCAACCUGCCUAUAACUAGGGAAUAACCUUGCGAAAGUAAGACUAAUACCCUAUGAUUUCCUUUGAUGACAUCAGAUUAGGAAUAAAGAUUUAUCGGUUAUAGAUGGGGAUGCGUCUGAUUAGCUUGUUGGCGGGGUAACGGCCCACCAAGGCAACGAUCAGUAGGGGUUCUGAGAGGAAGGUCCCCCACAUUGGAACUGAGACACGGUCCAAACUCCUACGGGAAGCAGCAGUGAGGAAUAUUGGUCAAUGGGCGGAAGCCUGAACCAGCCAAGUAGCGUGCAGGAUGACGGCCCUAUGGGUUGUAAACUGCUUUUAUACAGGAAUAAAGUUAGCCACGUGUGGUUAUUUGUAGGUACUGUAUGAAUAAGGACCGGCUAAUUCCGUGCCAGCAGCCGCCGUAA